Molecule: ribosomal RNA, 468 nt
Filed under: uncultured bacterium
Lineage: Bacteria
Description: partial 16S ribosomal RNA
Rfam family: Bacterial small subunit ribosomal RNA
Source: RNAcentral
GACGAACGCUGGCGGCGUGCUUAACACAUGCAAUUCGAACGGAAAGGCCCUGCUUUUGUGGGGUGCUCGAGUGGCGAACGGGUGAGUAACACGUGAGUAACCUGCCCUUGACUUUGGUAUAACUUCAGGAAACUGGGGCUAAUACCGGAUAGGAGCUCCUUCUGCAUGGUGGGGGUUGGAAAGUUUCGGCGGUUGGGGAUGGACUCGCGGCUUAUCAGCUUGUUGGUGGGGUAGUGGCUUACCAAGUCUUUGACGGGUAGCCGGCCUGAGAGGGUGACCGGCCACAUUGGGACUGAGAUACGGCCCAGACUCCUACGGGAGGCAGCAGUGGGGAAUAUUGCAGAAUGGGCGAAAGCCGGAUGCAGCAACGCCGCGUGCGGGAUGACGGCCUUAGGGGUGUAAACCGCUUUCGCCUGUGACGAAGCGUGAGUGACAGUAAUGGGUAAAGAAGAACCGGCUAACUACGUG